This is a long non-coding RNA of Prosopis cineraria, 511 nucleotides long. RefSeq lists it as uncharacterized. NCBI's taxonomy places the organism in Eukaryota, Viridiplantae, Streptophyta, Magnoliopsida, Fabales, Fabaceae. The transcript has 3 exons. The record is from RefSeq and is a predicted model, not a curated record.
CUCACUGAUGGCUAAACUGGUGCGUCUUGGCAGCUAGAAGUGGCUCACUAGAAUCUGUUCUUCCUUUGUUGUCAUCUUUUGCUUAUCCAUCUAGAACAGAGCUUGCUUCCUUCACCAAUCUCGACCACAUGCUGAUCUUGAACUGUCAUCGCUGUACUGUAGUUUGAGGGAAACUGAGUUCAGAACACUGGUUGCUAACGGCAGUUUCGUUAGCCCUUGGAGUGCCAUGAUACACCUAGCUAGCAGGGUGUUUGUAGGAGGUGCUAACCCCGUACGCAGGUCAACACACGUGGAACGGAAGGAUGUAUAUUCGUGAGCAUCGUACUCAUACUUGUUUUGUGGGCUACAUGCCUAUGCUUGUUUCAUGGCUUUUAAACCCGGCUUGUUGGUGAUUUACCCUCGUGGACUGUGUGUUCACGCUUGUUGGUUACUUAUGCUCGUGGACUAUGUGUCCACGCUUGUUAAUCAUUUUGAUUAAGUCCUGCUAAAAUGUGAAAUUUUGAGAAUUAUU